GACGAACGCUGGCGGCGUGCUUAACACAUGCAAGUCGAACGAAAAGACGGAAAGAGCUUGCUCUUUUCAGAAUUGAGUGGCAAACGGGUGAGUAACACGUAAACAACCUGCCUUCAGGAUGGGGACAACAGACGGAAACGACUGCUAAUACCGAAUAAGUUCCAAGAGCCGCAUGGCCCAUGGAAGAAAAGGUGGCCUCUACCUGUAAGCUAUCGCCUGAAGAGGGGUUUGCGUCUGAUUAGCUGGUUGGAGGGAUAACGGCCCACCAAGGCGACGAUCAGUAGCCGGUCUGAGAGGAUGAACGGCCACACUGGAACUGAGACACGGUCCAGACUCCUACGGGAGGCAGCAGUGGGGAAUCUUCCGCAAUGGGCGAAAGCCUGACGGAGCAACGCCGCGUGAGUGAUGACGGCCUUCGGGUUGUAAAACUCUGUGAUCCGGGACGAAAAGGCAGAGUGCGAAGAACAAACUGCAUUGACGGUACCGGAAAAGCAAGCCACGGCUAACUACGUGCCAGCAGCCGCGGUAAUACGUAGGUGGCAAGCGUUGUCCGGAAUUAUUGGGCGUAAAGCGCGCGCAGGCGGCUUCCCAAGUCCCUCUUAAAAGUGCGGGGCUUAACCCCGUGAUGGGAAGGAAACUGGGAAGCUGGAGUAUCGGAGAGGAAAGUGGAAUUCCUAGUGUAGCGGUGAAAUGCGUAGAGAUUAGGAAGAACACCGGUGGCGAAGGCGACUUUCUGGACGAAAACUGACGCUGAGGCGCGAAAGCGUGGGGAGCAAACAGG
RNAcentral lists this ribosomal RNA (781 nucleotides) under uncultured Dialister sp. RNAcentral's name for it is "bacterial SSU rRNA". It matches the Rfam family "Bacterial small subunit ribosomal RNA", at positions 28 to 776 of the family's 1533-position model. The record is from RNAcentral. Lineage: Bacteria; Bacillati; Bacillota; Negativicutes; Veillonellales; Veillonellaceae.